GAGAACUGCUUUUGAGCAAUAAAUCAACCAGUGAGGUAGACUCUUGUGGUAUCACCUUUCAACAUGGUCAAGCUAUGGAAACGUGAUUUUAAUUUCUCAGGUUUUUUGUUUGUUUGUUUGUUUUUGUUUUUGUCUUUAAUCUGCCAGAUGGAGACCAUGCCAUUGCUAGUCUACCUUGAAAGACAGAUGCGAAGAAUCAAGUCAGGGGCUUUGCAGGAAGGCGAUAUAUCCCACCUCAUGAAAUCAGCCUUCACCACAAGAUUGCUUUGACCAAUGGGAUGUGAGUAGAAGUUUGAAGAACCACAGACUGGUCCAUCACCUUGUUUCUUAUCCCUCUGACAUAAGCAAUGUCCCAGAUUGGGGCUGUUCCGUUAGCCUGGCUUCCAGAAUGAAGAGAGCUGAUCUACAUGGCAUAUGUAACAUAGAUAAACCUUUGUUAUUACAAACCACAGAAA
This 455-nucleotide long non-coding RNA is filed under the name Pongo abelii (Sumatran orangutan). Its description in RNAcentral is "lincRNA". The record is from RNAcentral. Lineage: Eukaryota; Metazoa; Chordata; Mammalia; Primates; Hominidae.